This is a long non-coding RNA of Chroicocephalus ridibundus (black-headed gull), 431 nucleotides long. RefSeq lists it as uncharacterized. NCBI's taxonomy places the organism in Eukaryota, Metazoa, Chordata, Aves, Charadriiformes, Laridae. The record is from RefSeq and is a predicted model, not a curated record. The transcript is spliced from 3 exons.
GGCAUCUUAAAAGCCUGGUUGACCUGGGUUCUUCGCUGCAGAGGGCUGGCAGGAGGAGGGCAGGCACCACAUCAAGCCUCCCAAGUGGUUCUUCCACUGAAGUCACCCAGGGAGCCAAAUGCACUUCCAGGAUGAACCUUAGAAAAAGCUGCUUUGUCUCCAGCACAAUUUCAGAGCUGGGAUAUCAACCACAGAAGCUGCUUUUCUUGGACCUAAGGAGGAAAAUCAAAUUUUCACCCCAUGGCCAGUCUCCCUCUUUCCAACGCUCCUGCGGGGUAAGGAGAGCUGGGUGGACCACCUCACGUUCUCCAGCACAAACAGCUUCAAGAUGAGGUGAAAAGGAAGAGUAAAACAGCAGGGAUGGGAAAAGGGGAAAAACCCCUGGAAACAAAGCAAGGUCUCAUUUUUGGGGCCAGACCUUACUGGCGAGG